AAACUGUCUGGCCAAUAGUGCUUAUUUGGAUGUCAUAAUGAGGAUGGCAAGUGCAGGUGCUGUGGCGUCUGAGUGAUGUCAGAUUGCAAGGCUGGACUAUCACAAUGUACUCACAGGACUGCCAUCAGGGCCAGCAGGGCCUCUGUCUCCAAAGUCACCUGGAAAACCCUGGCCCAGGGAAGAAAGAAGAACGGCCGUUGAAGCCAACACAGAUAAGAAAUUAAGAAAACUAAAGCACAGAGAGCUUGUCACUUGCACUCCACCAGUGAUGAGUGCGACUGAGAUUGGAAUGGAGGAAGUCUGAAUGCAGAGUCUGCUCUUUCUCCUAUUCUACACUGAAUAUUUUAGCUCAUCAUUUCAAGAUAUGAUAAACAUAUAACAAAUCAUUUAAGUACUUUGUUAUUGGGGAAAGCCACAAUGCACAUAAAUACUGCAACCAUAAAAUGUGGUGCGACUGAAAAUCAAGCUUCUCCAGUGCCUACCGUGGGGUAGUUGGAUAAUUUGAUCCAUACUUCAAGCGUCAACCAUGUUCUGUUAGUUGAAACUAAUUUUAAACUUAGAACUUCCUGACUGUGGCAUUACAGAAUGAAGUUUGAAAUCUUUGCAUUAAAAAAAGAAGCUGCUUACAAUUAGGUCCCAGUUGUCCUACUUCUCCAGGAGAGCCAAUAAAACCCUUAAAUUUCUUUCCUCCCAGAGCCCAUGAUGAAACAGAACACAGUGGCAGUACAACUUCUUUAAUUACUUUCUCUGAAACACUUUAAAAUGGUGAGCUAGACUUGUUAAACAUGGUAUCUUCUGCAUGUACAAUUUCCUUUGAAGGGACUGUCCGACAUCCAGAGACUCUAAUAAGAGGGCAGCGACAGUCAUGACCUGUCCUCUGUGAACUCACUCCUACUCCACCUCGGCCACAGGACACAACACUCGAUCUGUGGGAGACCAAUACGAAGUCUGGCCCCUAGCCAAUGAAGUCACUUGGAAUAAAGAGUUUUGCCUAAAUAGAAACAAAGUGGGUAACCGCAUGACCAAAAAGAAAAAAAGAAAGAGUGAAAGAGAUACAGUAGAAUUGAAAUCAGAAAUGUUAAGAGAUGACACUUAACUACUUGAAGAGAGGAACUACACCUUAUUACGUAACACUGGUUUCCUGAAUGAAUUGCAAGGCAAAAAACAAUUGUGACUAAAACAACUAUAGCCUUCCAGAGUUAGCGACAGAUUUUUAUCUCCAAAAUGAAACUCCUCUUUUGUUUGAGGCAAUUUCCCUGGAUCUUUUGCUUCUGUCUUGUCUCAAGAAGCUGAGGCAAAGGUGGGCUAACCUUGUAUAUAAGCAUGUGAAAAGUAACAUCACUGAGAGAUCAAUA
Canis lupus familiaris (dog) is the source of this 1355-nucleotide long non-coding RNA. RefSeq lists it as uncharacterized. NCBI's taxonomy places the organism in Eukaryota, Metazoa, Chordata, Mammalia, Carnivora, Canidae. The transcript is spliced from 8 exons. The record is from RefSeq and is a predicted model, not a curated record.